Molecule: long non-coding RNA, 525 nt
Filed under: Elaeis guineensis (African oil palm)
Lineage: Eukaryota; Viridiplantae; Streptophyta; Magnoliopsida; Arecales; Arecaceae
Description: long non-coding RNA (EGUI_LNC008517)
Source: RNAcentral
AGCUCAACGAGAUAAUUAAGAAGAGUCAUGAGACUAUAUGAGAUAUGAUCCGAUCCAUGAUGGACUUCAUUGAUUUAUUUUUAUUUCUUUAGGGACAUACUUUAUUUCUAUGGAAUUGGGUUCUCUCUAAAUCUGUUCCCACUACACCGUAUGAUAUAUGACAUGAUGAGAACUGAAUCUUGAUUAUUUCAAGAUUCAAGGAUGUCCAGCCUAUGUCAAGGAUAGCAAGCGGAUAUAUUAGAGGAUGGAUCUAUAAAGCUCAUUUCAAAGAAUAUCUUAAAAGAGUUUGGGAUACUAUUUUUCUUCUGAAAAGAUUACAAUGUGAUUGUGACCUGACAUGCUAUCUUCUUAAAAAUUAUUUAACCAAGAUGAAGCAGCGGGAGGAAAGUUAAGCUCGAAGAGAGUGUCUCUGAAGAGCAGCGAGCCAUAGGACCUAAAGAACCUAUUCAUGAUGUACCAGUAUACAUAUAUUCCUCCUCCAUCUUAUACAUAUAGUAGGAUCUCCCAUCCUCUCGAAAGGUACUU